AUUGCAGCCUGCAACUCGGCUGCAUGAAGCUGGAAUCGCUAGUAAUCGCGGAUCAGAAUGCCGCGGUGAAUACGUUCCCGGGUCUUGUACACACCGCCCGUCACACCAUGGGAGUUGGGAAUGCCCGAAGUCAGUGACCCAACCGAAAGGGGGGAGCUGCCGAAGGCAGGCCUGGUAACUGGGGUGAAGUCGUAACAAGGUAGC
Molecule: ribosomal RNA, 204 nt
Filed under: uncultured bacterium
Lineage: Bacteria
Description: partial 16S ribosomal RNA
Rfam family: Bacterial small subunit ribosomal RNA
Source: RNAcentral